UGGGGAAUAUUGGACAAUGGGCGCAAGCCUGAUCCAGCCAUGCCGCGUGUGUGAAGAAGGCCUUCGGGUUGUAAAGCACUUUCAGUAGGGAAUAAAAGCCUGGUGAUAAUACCGCCGGGUCUUGACAGUACCUACAGAAGAAGCACCGGCUAAUUCCGUGCCAGCAGCCGCGGUAAUACGGAAGGUGCGAGCGUUAAUCGGAAUCACUGGGCGUAAAGCGCGCGUAGGCGGUUUGGUAAGUCAGAUGUGAAAGCCCUGGGCUCAACCUGGGAACUGCAUUUGAUACUGCCUGACUAGAGUGUGGUAGAGGGAAGUGGAAUUCCACAUGUAGCGGUGAAAUGCGUAGAGAUGUGGAGGAACACCAAUGGCGAAGGCAGCUUCCUGGACCAACACUGACGCUGAGGCGCGAAAGCGUGGGGAGCAAACAGGAUUAGAUACCCCCGUAGUCC
RNAcentral lists this ribosomal RNA (449 nucleotides) under uncultured prokaryote. Its description in RNAcentral is "bacterial SSU rRNA". It matches the Rfam family "Bacterial small subunit ribosomal RNA", at positions 355 to 796 of the family's 1533-position model. The record is from RNAcentral.